GUGACCGCGUACCUUUUGUAUAAUGGGUCAGCGACUUAAUUUACGUAGCGAGCUUAAGCCGAUAGGUGUAGGCGCAGCGAAAGCGAGUCUGAAUAGGGCGUUUCAGUUACGUGGAUUAGACCCGAAACCGGGUGAUCUAGCCAUGGGCAGGUUGAAGGCAGGGUAAGACCUGCUGGAGGACCGAACCCACCUAUGUUGAAAAAUGGGGGGAUGACCUGUGGCUAGGGGUGAAAGGCCAAUCAAACCCGGAAAUAGCUGGUUCUCCGCGAAAACUAUUUAGGUAGUGCGUUAUGUGUUUACCGUCGGGGGUAGAGCACUGGAUGGGCUAGGGGGGCGCGAGCCUUACCAAACCUAACCAAACUCCGAAUACCGGCGAGUAUUGCAUGGCAGACAGACGGUGGGCGCUAAGGUCCGUCGUCGAGAGGGAAACAGCCCUGACCGCCAGCUAAGGUCCCUAAGUUGUGGCUAAGUGGGAAAGGAUGUGGGAAGGCCAAGACAGCCAGGAGGUUGGCUUAGAAGCAGCCAUCCUUGAAAGAAAGCGUAACAGCUCACUGGUCUAGAUAUUAAGCCGUCCCGCGCCGAAGAUGUAACGGGGCUCAAGCCACACACCGAAGCUGCGGAUUCGAUCCCGGAUUUAUCCAGGGUCGAGUGGUAGCGGAGCGUUCCGUAAGCCCGUGAAGCGGUCCUGUAAGGGGCCGUGGAGGUAUCGGAAGCGAGAAUGCUGACAUGAGUAGCGAUAAAGAGUGUGAGAAACACUCUCGCCGUAAGUCCAAGGGUUCCUGCGCAAGGCUAAUCCGCGCAGGGUGAGCCGGCCCCUAAGCCGAGGGCGAAAGCCGUAGGCGAUGGGAACCACGUUAAUAUUCGUGGGCCUGCUGGGAUGUGACGAAUGCGGAAAGUUGUCUUCGCUUAGAUGGAUUGCGAGGGCGGCGAACGCGUUCCAGGAAAUAGCCCCAGCUUUAGACCGUACCCCAAACCGACACAGGUGGACAGGUAGAGCAUACCAAGGCGCUUGAGAGAACUGCGUUGAAGGAACUCGGCAAAUUGCCCUCGUAACUUCGGGAUAAGAGGGCCCGGCCUUUGGGCAACCAUUGGCCGGGGGCACAAAAUUGGGGGUAGCGACUGUUUACUAAAAACAUAGGGCUCUGCGAAGUCGCAAGACGACGUAUAGGGUCUGACGCCUGCCCGGUGCUGGAAGGUUAAGAGGAGAGGUGCAAGCUUUGAAUCGAAGCCCCAGUAAACGGCGGCCGUAACUAUAACGGUCCUAAGGUAGCGAAAUUCCUUGUCGGGUAAGUUCCGACCUGCACGAAUGGCGUAACGACUUCCCCACUGUCUCCAACGCAGACUCAGCGAAAUUGAAUUCUCCGUGAAGAUGCGGAGUACCCGCGGUCAGACGGAAAGACCCCGUGCACCUUUACUACAGCUUU
This 1424-nucleotide ribosomal RNA is filed under the name uncultured Rhodospirillales bacterium HF4000_24M03. RNAcentral describes it as "bacterial LSU rRNA". It matches the Rfam family "Bacterial large subunit ribosomal RNA", at positions 593 to 2113 of the family's 2925-position model. The record is from RNAcentral. Lineage: Bacteria; Pseudomonadati; Pseudomonadota; Alphaproteobacteria; Rhodospirillales.